GCAGCUGUGGCCAGUGGUUAAGGGGGUGGACUGGGAAAUCCAUUGGGGUCUCCCCGCGUGGGUUCGAAUCCUACCGGCUGCG
RNAcentral lists this transfer RNA (82 nucleotides) under Trichonephila inaurata madagascariensis. It matches the Rfam family "tRNA". Rfam says of the family: Transfer RNA (tRNA) molecules are approximately 80 nucleotides in length. The record is from Rfam by way of RNAcentral. Lineage: Eukaryota; Metazoa; Arthropoda; Arachnida; Araneae; Nephilidae.